CCGACUUCAGGUACCCCAGACUUCCAUGGCUUGACGGGCGGUGUGUACAAGGCCCGGGAACGUAUUCACCGCGCCAUGGCUGAUGCGCGAUUACUAGCGAUUCCAGCUUCAUAGAGUCGAGUUGCAGACUCCAAUCCGAACUGAGACCGGCUUUCGAGAUUCGCAUCCUGUCACCAGGUAGCUGCCCUCUGUACCGGCCAUUGUAUUACGUGUGUGGCCCAAGACGUAAGGGCCGUGAUGAUUUGACGUCAUCCCCACCUUCCUCUCUACUUGCGUAGGCAGUCCCAACAGAGUCCCCAACUGAAUGAUGGCAACUGUUGGCAGGGGUUGCGCUCGUUGCAGGACUUAACCUAACACCUCACGGCACGAGCUGACGACAACCAUGCAGCACCUUGAAAAUUGCCCGAAGGAGGAUCUAUUUCUAAAUCUGUCAAUUCCCAUUUAAGUCUUGGUAAGGUUCCUCGCGUAUCAUCGAAUUAAACCACAUAAUCCACCGCUUGUGCGGGCCCCCGUCAAUUCCUUUGAGUUUCAUCCUUGCGGACGUACUCCCCAGGUGGCUAACUUAUCACUUUCGCUUGGUCUCUGAACCCGAAGAUCCAAAAACGAGUUAGCAUCGUUUACGGCGUGGACUACCAGGGUAUCUAAUCCUGUUCGCUCCCCACGCUUUCGUCCAUCAGCGUCAGUUAAAUCUUAGUGACCUGCCUUCGCAAUCGGUGUUCUAAGUAAUAUCUAUGCAUUUCACCGCUACACUACUUAUUCCAGCCACUUCAAAUUUACUCAAGGCCUGCAGUAUCAAUGGCAGUUUCAUAGUUAAGCUAUGAGAUUUCACCACUGACUUACAGGCCCGCCUACGGACCCUUUAAACCCAAUAAAUCCGGAUAACGCUCGCACCCUCCGUAUUACCGCGGCUGCUGGCACGGAGUUAGCCGGUGCUUAUUCGUACAGUACCUUCAGCUGCCCUCACGAGGGCAGGUUUAUCCCUGUACAAAAGAAGUUUACAAUCCAUAGAACCGUCAUCCUUCACGCGGGAUGGCUGGAUCAGGCUUCCACCCAUUGUCCAAUAUUCCUCACUGCUGCCUCCCGUAGGAGUCUGGUCCGUGUCUCAGUACCAGUGUGGGGGAUCUCCCUCUCAGGACCCCUAAAGAUCAUCGACUUGGUGGGCCGUUACCCCGCCAACUAUCUAAUCUUGCGCGUGCCCAUCUCUAUCCGCCGAGGCUUUCAAUGGCGACCGAUGCCGGACACCAUAUUAUGGGGUAUUAAUCUUCCUUUCGAAAGGCUAUCCCCCAGAUAAAGGCAGGUUGCACACGUGUUACGCACCCGUACGCCGCUCUCUGGAUAGCAAGCUAUCCAUACCGCUCGGCUGCA
This 1365-nucleotide ribosomal RNA is filed under the name uncultured bacterium. RNAcentral describes it as "partial 16S ribosomal RNA". The record is from RNAcentral.